RNAcentral lists this small RNA (127 nucleotides) under Marmota monax (woodchuck). The record is from RNAcentral. Lineage: Eukaryota; Metazoa; Chordata; Mammalia; Rodentia; Sciuridae.
GCUGGGCUUGGUGGUUCAUGCAUGUAAUCCCUGUAACUCAGGAGGCUGAGGCAGGAGGAUCCCAAGUUUGAGGUCAGCUUCAGCAACUUAGUGAGGCCCUAAGCAACUUAGUGAGACCCUGUCUCAA